This 31-nucleotide non-coding RNA is filed under the name Mus musculus (house mouse). The record is from RNAcentral. Lineage: Eukaryota; Metazoa; Chordata; Mammalia; Rodentia; Muridae.
UUUGGUGAAAAGUAUCCAGUGCCCCUUAUCU